RNAcentral lists this small nuclear RNA (162 nucleotides) under Crocodylus porosus (Australian saltwater crocodile). RNAcentral describes it as "U1 spliceosomal RNA (ENSCPRG00005018285.1)". The stretch from base 1 to 125 matches the Rfam family "U1 spliceosomal RNA". From Rfam's summary of the family: U1 is a small nuclear RNA (snRNA) component of the spliceosome (involved in pre-mRNA splicing). Its 5' end forms complementary base pairs with the 5' splice junction, thus defining the 5' donor site of an intron. Lineage: Eukaryota; Metazoa; Chordata; Crocodylia; Crocodylidae. The record is from RNAcentral.
GAACUUACUUGGCAGGGGAGAUACCAUGAUCAACAGUUUUUCCUAGGGUGAGGUCUGUCCAUUGCACUCAGGGCAGGUUGACUUCUGUGAGUUUCUCAAAUGCAGGAAACUGCGUUUGUGCUUUCCCUUAGCUUGCUCUUUCAGCCUUCUGGCUAGGAGCCA